UUCACCAGGGAAUAGCUCCAUAUUUCCAUUGGAAAAUGUUCCGCCCCAUUGUAAUGGAACUGGAUUAUCCUGUCAUAGAAACAAUACAGAUAAUCUGUGCACGGUAAUGACUAAUAAUUCAAACUCUCUCGUGAGUGAGAGAUGCGAUAAUCCUCACUCUUCUCUGUGUAUACUUGAUAUAGGUAUGUUCUCGUUGUAUAUCACCACCAAUUCUCAUUUUACAUUCAUUAGAGAUUCAGUAAUAAUAUUUUCAAAUCUUUUUUAUUCCCUUACCCAAAAAGUCUCUUGCUAUUAAAAAGUAUGUUAAAUAGGUGCAUUGUUUAAUGAAUUUUUAAAUCAUCAUUUCUGACUAAACCGUUUACCCAUUUUCUUUUAUCAUAGAUGCAGCGUGUAACCGGAUGCACUGCCAUAGGGAUUAUUACCUUAUCAUCCUCAUAGUAGUGAGUGCAUUGAUACUCUCCACAACAUUAGCAGUGGUAGUUUGGCUUCUUGUAUAUAAGCGGGGCAAGAAAAGAAGGCGGUCUAGAAAAAUAUCUGUUCCAGGAGCUUCUCUUCCAUCAUGGAAAGUCUUCACCAAAGAGGAAUUAAGGUCAAUUACGAAGAAUUUCAGUGAAGGUAAUCGUCUUGUUGGUGAUACCAAGACUGGUGGUACAUACAGUGGGGUUUUAUCAGAUGGUUCGAGGGUUGCAGUUAAGAGAUUAAAGAGGACAAGCUUUCAGAGGAAAAAGGAGUUUUAUUCUGAAAUUAGCAGGGUUGCUAGGCUUCGAUAUCCCAAUCUGGUUGCUGUGAUGGGAUGCUGCUAUGAUCACGGUGAUCGCUACAUUGUUUAUGAAUUUGUAGCUAAUGGUCCCUUAGAUAAAUGGCUGCAUCACAUACCUAGGGGAGGUCGUAGCUUAGAUUGGGCUAUGAGGAUGAAAAUUGCUACAACGCUUGCUCAAGGAAUUGCGUAUGUUCAAAAUAUACUUUUUAUUUUGCUAACUUACUACAUUUUAUCUACAAUUUUUCGCACUCCUUGUUCAUGUGCAUAUUUCACUCAAAUUAACAAAAAAUUUCUUAUGAUACAAUUUUUUUGCUAUAAAUGUGGGCAUUUUGGUUAUUCUGUUGUAUUUGUGUGCAUUCUUUGUAAUAUGCACGGUAUUAUGACUUUUAAGAUUCUAAAUUUCACAAGGGAACAUUUAAUUUAAUACUUGGAUUGUGUCUGGUGCAUGGACAAAUUGAAAUGAAAUGAUUUUUCUUUACAUUCUGUUUUCUUUGAUGUUCCACCCUUUUAAUUGGAACCUGAGUGUUUCAUUUUUAAACUGUCCUUUUCAAUUCUUUCUUUACAAUGUAGCAACAAUAGAAUAGAACUCGAGAUAUGUUUUGUUCCAUUCUACCAUGUCUAAAUGUCACUGGUCUCAUUGAUUAUUAAAUUGAGUGAAGAACUUUCAUGUUCUAGAUUUCCCUGUCUCUAAAGUCCUACAGCCAUCCUGUUCUUGAAUAUUAUUUUUGCAUGAGAAUAAUAUUCUCUUCAUUCUGUUUUUCGGUUUGGAAGAUAGGGAUUGCCAUUUGACCAAGUAAAUAUUACAAAGGAUGGUGGAGUGAAUGAAUUAAAAUAUGCUCUGCUGGUGUACUUGGCUCAAAACUUCACGUGGACGGUGGAGUUUCAGAGUAAAUGUCCCAGGAUCCCACAAUGCUAUUUCUGACAUUAGAUGAUCAUAGAGGAAGAUAGAGAUAUAGAGCUAAUUAUCUUAGCCCAUGGUUGUUUGUGUUGGAUCCACUAAUCUUGCAUUGCAUCUGUCUUAUAUUAUGUCCUCAUCUCACUAGUUAUCAUUAGAGGAUCCUGAUCCAUCUAGAAAAGAGGAAAUAAUUAAUGUGUUUUUUUAAUUGCUGGUUAGGUUUCAGUUUUCGUUUGCGUUAUGGGCUAUCUACAGUUUCUUUGUCCAGCACUAGCACAGUAAAAUUGAGAUUUUUGAAGAUGUUUUAAAUAUUAUCUUCUUUUCUAAUGUUUAUUUAUUAUAUUAUAUAAAAAUUUACAUUUCCCGAGCCUUGUAAAAUCAUUUAUGAAAGAUUUCAGUCCUUUAGCAUCAAAUCUUCAAGACUUUUUCCUGGUUAGUUAUAUAACGUUGCUUCAUUUCAUUGUUGCUGUCCUAUUGGUCCAGUGUAGUAGAUUAUGUUUUCCUUAGGGUAUGUUUGUUUACCUUCAUUAUGCAAACUCAUCAAUGCCUUGUGUGCUUUAUAGGAGAAUAUAACAUAGAAACCCGAUGGCUUUUAAGUGUCUAAAUAUGCAAUGUCAGUUAGCUUGUAAAAUCAUGCCAAGGGUAAAUAAGCCGUUAUCUACCUAUCAAGAAGAAAGGGUGGUGGGAAGGGAUGAAGAAAGAGAGGAGGAAAUAAUUUGAAACACAUGGCAGGGGAACCAUAUGCAUGUUUGUUGAGUUUUUUCAUAACGGUAAUUAUAAUUCCAUUCACUGUACAAAACUAUUCCUCUUGAGUUUGUUCCAAACUUGAUUUGCCAACCAAAAGUAAAUAAAUAAAUUAAAUAUUCCAUACUCUGCAGUAUUUUGAACUUAAAUGGAUAGAUUGAUUAAUGUAUAAUUGCGGCCUACGUCUCUAUUUCAACAGGUUUCUGCAUGACAAGGUUAAGCCACAAGUUGUGCAUCGAGAUAUACGUGCAAGUAAUGUACUCCUGGAUGAGGAGUUUGGAGCACGUCUGAUGGGUGUUGGUCUGUCCAAGAUUGUGCCGUACGAAGUAAUGCAUGAGAGAACUGUCAUGGCAGGUGGAACUUACGGAUAUCUUGCUCCAGAGUUUGUGUAUAGGAACGAGUUUACAACAAAGAGUGACGUAUAUAGUUUUGGCGUCCUACUACUUGAAAUAGUAAGCGGACGUAGACCUACACAGGCAGUUGAUUCCGUUGGUUGGCAGAGUAUCUUUGAGUGG
RNAcentral lists this long non-coding RNA (2914 nucleotides) under Vigna radiata. Its description in RNAcentral is "long non-coding RNA (VRAD_LNC003288)". The record is from RNAcentral. Lineage: Eukaryota; Viridiplantae; Streptophyta; Magnoliopsida; Fabales; Fabaceae.